This 323-nucleotide unclassified non-coding RNA is filed under the name Yoonia litorea. RNAcentral's name for it is "Long range pseudoknot". Lineage: Bacteria; Pseudomonadati; Pseudomonadota; Alphaproteobacteria; Rhodobacterales; Paracoccaceae. The record is from RNAcentral.
ACGAUUACGAAGUGAAGAUGAAGAACGUCUUCAAAUUCCUGGAAAACGGCGACAAGGUUAAGAUUACGCUUCGUUUCCGUGGACGCGAAAUGGCACACCAGGAACUCGGUCGUCAGCUGCUGGAGCGUGUUGCUGAAGACACCAAGGAGCAUGGCAAGGUCGAGAACUUCCCCAAAAUGGAAGGCCGCCAGAUGGUCAUGCUGAUCGGACCGCUUUCCAAAUAAUUGCGCUCCCAUAUAGAAUGCAAAAGGCCCCCGCGGAUGCAGGGGCCUUCUUUGUUUUUGCCUUUAGGCUUUAGCGCAGCAAGCUUGUAAUAUUGCGCA